RNAcentral lists this transfer RNA (69 nucleotides) under Urocitellus parryii (Arctic ground squirrel). Its description in RNAcentral is "Spermophilus parryii (Arctic ground squirrel) tRNA". It matches the Rfam family "tRNA". From Rfam's summary of the family: Transfer RNA (tRNA) molecules are approximately 80 nucleotides in length. Their secondary structure includes four short double-helical elements and three loops (D, anti-codon, and T loops). Further hydrogen bonds mediate the characteristic L-shaped molecular structure. tRNAs have two regions of fundamental functional importance: the anti-codon, which is responsible for specific mRNA codon recognition, and the 3' end, to which the tRNAs corresponding amino acid is attached (by aminoacyl-tRNA synthetases). tRNAs cope with the degeneracy of the genetic code in two manners: having more than one tRNA (with a specific anti-codon) for a particular amino acid; and 'wobble' base-pairing, i.e. permitting non-standard base-pairing at the 3rd anti-codon position. The record is from Rfam by way of RNAcentral. Lineage: Eukaryota; Metazoa; Chordata; Mammalia; Rodentia; Sciuridae. RNAcentral also lists the same sequence under 1 other name.
GGGGCUGUGGCUCAGUGGUACAGCACUUGCCUUGAACGUAUGAGGCACUGGGUUGGAGUCUCAGCACCG